RNAcentral lists this transfer RNA (72 nucleotides) under Marmota monax (woodchuck). RNAcentral's name for it is "tRNA.Val". Lineage: Eukaryota; Metazoa; Chordata; Mammalia; Rodentia; Sciuridae. The record is from RNAcentral.
UGGUGUGUAUCCCAGUGGUAGAGAACGUGCCUAACAUGCAUGAGUCCAUGUGUUCAAUCCCCAGUACCAUAA